This is a long non-coding RNA of Xenopus laevis (African clawed frog), 3765 nucleotides long. RefSeq lists it as uncharacterized. The transcript has 7 exons. The record is from RefSeq and is a predicted model, not a curated record. NCBI's taxonomy places the organism in Eukaryota, Metazoa, Chordata, Amphibia, Anura, Pipidae.
CGGGCAGGGAGGGCAGGAGAAGAGCUCAACCCGCACCAGCCCGUGAUCCACGAGGAGCAGUGUGAGGUCGACCCAAACCCGCCUGUCCCGCGGGUAUUGGGUCGGCCCGCACAUCACUAUUGUGUAGUGUGGAAAACACAUUGUCGAGGGGGAAGAGAGGGAGGGGAGAUGAGUCGCUGGUCUCCGACCAGCUCCUGAGCUCCAUUGUUCAGUCUGAAGGUACACUGAGUCUGUGUGCAAGGGUGCCUGCCCGAAGCUGGGCGAGUGGGCGGGGCAAGCGCAAGCAGCCCUGAGAAGGACCCAGGCUUGAUUGACAUUUCUAGCUUAUAGGGUUACUUGAUUACGUAGCCUUUAAAAAUAACCUAAUCUAUUACCGUAUACUCAAUCAAUCAAUUCUCCACAUUAUUAGUUAAAAGUUGCAUAUUUGUUACAUAUAUAUAUAUAUGGAGUUUUUUUUUUUAUACAAUUUGUAUAUAUCAAGAAGGUAUAUUGUACAAAAGUUUAGAUAAAGACUUCUCCUAAAAAGGACCUUAGAUUGAAGUCUAUGUUGAGGCCCUUGGGUUCCAGUGUUCCCAUUUUAUAUAUCCUUCUGCUUUAGAGUAUCUUCUACAAUGUUUCCCCCCCUCCACUUUCUGGUUAAUGCCUCCACACCCCAAUAUGUUAGACCCUUGGGGUUACAUCUAUGUACCGCCUUAAAAUGUUUAGAUGCACUAUGGGUUUCUAUACCUUUCUCUAUAUUUCUCAGAUGUUCCCUAAUUCAACUUAUUUUGUCAUUUGAACCUUCAUCAACUUAUUUUGUCGUUUGGAUACUAAGCUCAAGGAGAACGAGCCUUCCUGUGGGUCGGUUUUAAAAGGGGAUUUCCAGAAACUGUUUUGGACACUACCUUAUUAAGUAUUUUGAUUGACAGAGUGCCUAGAUGACAUCGGCAACCAGCACCUCCCACCAAUGCACGCCCAGUCCUUCUCAGUAGCUGCUGCUCUCUGGAAAAUAAAAGUGAAAAAAAGAGAUGGCCGACGGCUGCCCUGGCUUGCUGUAGCUGUAACAGGACAGGAAAUCAGGAGAAAGGGAGGAGCGUGAUAAGAAAUGCUAAGAUAACAAAUAAAGUGGACCCAAAAGGAGACUGGAGGCUAAGCCGAGCAGAGGAGACUCACGUUCCUUGUUAAAGGGGAAGGAAAGUCUUUUUAACUUGUGGGUGCCACAAUUUAGGCAUCCCAAGUGAUUUUAUUUACUUAACUGAUAACCCAGGCUGCUGCUCCUGUCAACAGAAAACUGCACCGGCCCAGGGUUCUUCCAGAGAUCACCACAGAGUGAUUCUCUUUUUCCACUUCUUCAGACAUAACUGCACAGUGAUGUGAAAUAGCUGUUUUUUUUCUGUUGUUAAAGUAUGGCUUUUUACUCUGCUAUGUAUGCACAGCUGCGGGAAUAAAGAAUAAGCAUGAACAGGAUCCCUCUGUGUAGCUCACUGGGCCUCUGCAGUUUUCUGUUGAUAGGAGCAGCAGCCCUGGGUAUAUACAAUCACUUAGAGCUGCCUAACUUUUAGUACCUUCAAGUAAAAAACUUGCUUCUCCUUUAAAGGGAGGGGAUCUCUCACAUCUUUGCCUGUCUGAUGUUAUGAAAGCCCAAGGAGGAAGUUCUGGACUGAAGAGCUACUGCACAUUCCUUUCCUCUCCUGCUUCAUUUGCAUGUCUUCGACCCAACUGGCUGGCAAGAUUUUACAUAAGAGAAUUAAUUUAAUUUAUGUUCCAGAAUAUGACUUUGAUUUUAUCAUUAUAAACAAUUGAAAUGUACUAUGCCACAAAAGAGAUCAUAUUCAGUUAAUCUAUCCAUAGAAAAAAUAUAUAUAUAUAAAUGUCAGCACAAAAGAAACCAAAAAUAAACAUUAAGAAACAUGUUCUGCGUUCUCUAAUGAACUAGUGUGGCAGAAGAUUUAGGGGUAGAUUUAUUAAAAUGUGAGAUCAGAGCUCACCACAAAAAAAAAAUACAGUUCACCAUUUGAUAAAUACACUUAUAGGAAUGACUAGAAAGGGGAUGAGUUUUUUUGUGGUGAGCUCUGAUGUCACAUUAAGGGGCCUAUCUAUUAUGCUGUGUAAAUGGAGUCUUGUCAAAAAAGGUGAUAAGGGUGAAGACACGCAGAGCUACUACUAGUAGCAGCUACUUGUCACAUCUAUAAAAUAGACAAUAGUGAUUAUUGGCUUAGCUAAGACACUACAUGUGUUUUAGCAGAAGCAAGUCUAUUGUCUAUGGCAGGAUAAUUUUGUGGCUUUUUGUAGCUGCUACUAGUGGCCCCGUGUGUUUUCACCCUAAACGUUGUGUAAAAUAAACAGCAAAUUCCUCAACGUUUGUGCGCCUUCCAAAUUCCACAUUUGGCGGCAUUAGAAAAGUAGAAUGCAUGAUAAGUGCACCUUUUUCCUUUUGAUGUGUGGUGAAUUUGAAUGUUGUUUCUUUGCUGUAUUUUUACACAACAGUAAAUAUUCCCCGUAGUGUCAGUCAAUCGUUCAAGUGUCCAUUGCUAAUUGAUGUGAAAGGGAUAUGCUCUUAGUCAGAGAGGAUCUGGAUAAUUGGCUAUAUAUAUUUUUUAUUGUCCUUUUAUUUGAUAAGGCUGAGAACUCUGCUCCCUGAAUAUCGCAUAAUCAUCUUUUAACUUAGGUAGGGAGUCAUCAGUUACCAGAGAGAGAGUCUGAUAGUAGUAAAGCAAGCAAGUCUUUAUAAAGUUCAAGAAUGCCAUUGAAACAUACAUUUUAUCUUCUGGACCUGUUUUCCCAAUACUUAGCUUUUCUUGCUAAAGUUUAAACUUUUUUUCCUAGAUACAACAAUUUAUUUUUUGUGGAGGAAGAGUUCUCUUCUAUGAAAGGAAUGCUAUCUUCCAUCUCUAAAACAGUCAUUUUGGAGUACACAAGCCUGGCCAACAAAAGUUUUGGAAGGUCGAAGAGGCUAGAACAUUACCGGGUGGAUGGAGCCAGGGCAUACCUAAUAAUGCACAGCUAAGACUUCAUGACAGAACAGUUAGAUGAAUACAGGACUUUUUUCUAUUCUCUUUUCUAAUCACAUGGGCAACAAUGCAUAUGGUGGUGAUUGGUCUCUUCUCUAAAUUCACAUGACUCCAUCUGGUGCACGUGAUAGGGAGGCCCUGGAAUUAUGUGGCUAAAGCCUAACUCUCAAGCCCUUGUCUGGAAAGGAAAUUGCAUUUUGAUUCUCAGAACCCUGACAUGUGUUGCACCUUAAAGGAAAAAGAGUUGGAGGGCCACAAUCUAUCUCAUUAAUCUGAGAGUGGCAGAACAUUGUAGAAUCGGAAGACUUCUGUAAGUUGUGCUUCGCCAGUCAGAAGUGGUGCACAGAUGACCAGGUAACAGUGUGCACAGCCACAGAGACUCCUGUGUGUUCAGUUCAGAGACCUCUCUGUCAUUCUCUCCCACUUGUUUCCAACUGAGUUUAAAAAUGUAAUCAGAAUGCAUGAAGACUGGACAGAGCUGCCACACAGAAUGUAUGUACCUUACUUUUUUUUUUUUACAAAAGAACAUUAGCCCACUUCAGUUCCCUUGUAAUGUGUUCAGUUAUCUGCAUCUACUUUUACUGUAAGGUCAUUUUCCAACAGUAACUAAACUUUAGUUCUAGUAUAUGAACUAGUUCUUGUCCUGCAAUGCACAAUGUAUAGGGAAACCUCUGGAAAUCUGUUAUUUGCACAUUCUGAAUCUACUUGCAUUUAAUUGGGAGCACAACAUAUAUUCCAGCUCAUAGUACAGGAACAUUCUGACAUUUAUAACUCA